UGCCAGCCGCCGCGGUAAUACGGAGGGUGCGAGCGUUAAUCGGAAUUACUGGGCGUAAAGCGCGCGUAGGUGGUCUGUUAAGUCGGAUGUGAAAGCCCCGGGCUCAACCUGGGAACUGCAUUCGAUACUAGCAAGCUAGAGAAAUAGAGAGGAAAGUGGAACUCCCAGUGUAGAGGUGAAAUUCGUAGAUAUUGGGAAGAACACCAGUGGCGAAAGCGACUUUCUGGCUAUUUUCUGACGCUGAGGAGCGAAAGCUAGGGGAGCAAACAGGAUUAGAUA
RNAcentral lists this ribosomal RNA (279 nucleotides) under uncultured bacterium. RNAcentral's name for it is "partial 16S ribosomal RNA". It matches the Rfam family "Bacterial small subunit ribosomal RNA", at positions 506 to 784 of the family's 1533-position model. The record is from RNAcentral.